This 265-nucleotide ribosomal RNA is filed under the name uncultured prokaryote. RNAcentral describes it as "partial 16S ribosomal RNA". It matches the Rfam family "Bacterial small subunit ribosomal RNA", at positions 524 to 788 of the family's 1533-position model. The record is from RNAcentral.
UACGUAGGUGGCGAGCGUUAUCCGGAUUUACUGGGUGUAAAGGGCGUGUAGGCGGAUAAGCAAGUCAGGCGUGAAAACUAUGGGCUUAACCCAUAGCCUGCGUUUGAAACUGUUUAUCUUGAGUAUCGGAGAGGCAGGCGGAAUUCCUCGUGUAGCGGUGAAAUGCGUAGAUAUGAGGAGGAACACCAGUUGCGAAGGCGGCCUGCUGGACGACAACUGACGCUGAGGCGCGAAAGCGUGGGGAGCAAACAGGAUUAGAUACCCU